Molecule: long non-coding RNA, 1927 nt
Filed under: Mytilus galloprovincialis (Mediterranean mussel)
Lineage: Eukaryota; Metazoa; Mollusca; Bivalvia; Mytilida; Mytilidae
Source: RNAcentral
UGCUUACAAAAAAUUUGGUAUGCUUUCAUAUAUUAUUUCAACCUUAGGCAUUGCUUGACAGUGUAUCAGUUAAGGUAGCACUACAGUCAGAAUUUUCUGACUCCAAUCAACAGUCUUUAAAGAUUAAUUUCUCCAAAACUACUCAAUGGAUUUUUAAAAUCUUUAACUCAUUUUAAAGCUGAAAUAUAACUCUUUCUUAAUUUAUAUAUAAGUUAAUUUUUGGUUUGAUUAAUCUCAAAAUAUAGCUCACUAAAUGCCAAAAAAGUGGUCUUCCAACUUGGAUGAAAAUGGCACAUUCAUGUCAAAUGGUAGUAAAAAUUUGUUUUCAUCCCUGUAAUCAACUGUAUACAAUUUCCAAAACCGUGUCUCAGAUUUUUGAUAUAUGCCUCCAGUAAGAAGAUAUACUGAUUUAACUGCUGGGUGCCAAUUCUCAUUUCACCUUUCAUCUUUGGAGACCUAUAAAUUUAUUUAGAAACAAAUUAUCCAAAAACUGGACGAGUAGAAAUACACCUUUAAUCAUAUAUAUCAAGUCAAGCCAAAGGGGGUACCCAUAAAGUUUCUAUUUUCAUUUGUUCCUUACAAUUUUCAUGAAAAAUUGUUCUGAGAAAUGACCUAAAAACGGAAUUUCCCCCUUAGAACCCCUAUAAAGUCAAUAUAAAUACAAACUUCCACUGGGAACACCCCAGGAGUGUUCUGAUACCAUUACUAUAUCAAUAGAACCACACACUUCGUGUCUUUGAUGCUCUAAUGCUGUAAAUUUGGCAUUAUAUGUGAACUGUCCAACACUAACUUGGUAUUUGGCGGGAGUUUGACGUCACAGAUAUGACAACAUCUGUGAUGAAGUAAUUAAAUAUAGACAAAGCUCCGACUCUUUACAGACAGUCUCAGAUAAGAGAAAAACAUGAUUGACCAGCUGCAUUUAAUUAAUAUUUAACAUCAUUAUUCUCUAUAUAUAAAGAAUAAUUUUCAUUUGAAUUUUAAAAAAGAAAUAAACUAUGUCUUAAAUUAGCUAGAACAUUAAAAGUGUGCAUCAAAAAACAUGUUCAUAAAAAGAUCAAGACCACCCUUUUCUUGAAAAUACAUUUAAUUUAAUAAUGACUGAAAAAAUACACAUGAACUGAAAAUUAGUUGAAAUUCAUAAAACUGUAUUUAAAUGAAGAAGACCAAAGAGAAGAAAUUUAUACAGGCAGUCAGAGGCUUUCAAAAAUACUUCCCCUUGAGAUCUCUUUUCCAUAGUACUUUUUUUCCUUUUUGGUAGAUUUUUUCCCUUUUAAGUUUUUUUUUUCUUUUUCUUUGUUCACGUCCAUGUUAUAUAAAGAAUAUUUGUUGCAAAACAAUGAGAUAAGACUACAAUAUUUAUCUUGUGGUCAGGGAUUAACAGCUGGACACUGGUAUCAACAGAUGAAUUACAUAUUAGCCCCUCCCAAAUGCCUAUAUAUUUAGAUUAAUUACCAUGUGCAUUUAUUUACAUAAAUUCAUUAUCAAUUUACUCCAUGUUGUGAUAUGAUAAUGACUUUGGGAUUUUUGCAAACUGUGCAGAAUAAUACUUACUUCAAAAUUAUGUGAUAAAAAAAAUAUGAUCAAAAAAUCAUUGUUAGACUGUAGUGCUACCUUAAAUGUGUGCUUGAGAGAGUUGGAAGCUUGAUUCAUGAUUGGGGAUAUUAAAGGUUUUUAAUUGAUUGUUGGUUGCUAAACACCUAGUGGAAAACAUUUUGUGCAUGUUCAGGACAAUAUGAAAGGGCCAAUGCAUAGGUAAAAGAACAAUCAAUAUCACAUAAUGGAAUGUCAUAGAAACACGUGAGUUAUCUCCCCACUUCUAGUUAAGGAAACCAUAAAGGGAGAUAACUCAUUAAUCAAAUUCAAUGUCGACUGCUCAUCAAAAUUCAAUUAUCUUCCAUACUUUAAUUUUCUUUUUCUUUCUUUCUGC